UACGUAGGGGGCUAGCGUUAUCCGGAAUUACUGGGCGUAAAGGGUGCGUAGGUGGUUUCUUAAGUCAGAGGUGAAAGGCUACGGCUCAACCGUAGUAAGCCUUUGAAACUGGGAAACUUGAGUGCAGGAGAGGAGAGUGGAAUUCCUAGUGUAGCGGUGAAAUGCGUAGAUAUUAGGAGGAACACCAGUUGCGAAGGCGGCUCUCUGGACUGUAACUGACACUGAGGCACGAAAGCGUGAGGAGCAAACAGG
RNAcentral lists this ribosomal RNA (252 nucleotides) under uncultured bacterium. Its description in RNAcentral is "partial 16S ribosomal RNA". It matches the Rfam family "Bacterial small subunit ribosomal RNA", at positions 524 to 776 of the family's 1533-position model. The record is from RNAcentral.